RNAcentral lists this ribosomal RNA (269 nucleotides) under uncultured Desulfobulbus sp. RNAcentral's name for it is "partial 16S ribosomal RNA". It matches the Rfam family "Bacterial small subunit ribosomal RNA", at positions 1113 to 1382 of the family's 1533-position model. The record is from RNAcentral. Lineage: Bacteria; Pseudomonadati; Thermodesulfobacteriota; Desulfobulbia; Desulfobulbales; Desulfobulbaceae.
AGUUGCCAGCAGUUCGGCUGGGCACUCUAAAGGGACUGCCGGUGUUAAACCGGAGGAAGGUGGGGAUGACGUCAAGUCCUCAUGGCCUUUAUGACCAGGGCUACACACGUACUACAAUGGCCGAUACAAAGGGCAGCGACACUGCGAGGUGAAGCCAAUCCCGUAAAAUCGGUCUCAGUCCGGAUUGGAGUCUGCAACUCGACUCCAUGAGGUUGGAAUCGCUAGUAAUCGUGGAUCAGCAUGCCACGGUGAAUACGUUCCCGGGCCUU